Long non-coding RNA from Hyposmocoma kahamanoa, 1484 nucleotides. RefSeq lists it as uncharacterized. The record is from RefSeq and is a predicted model, not a curated record. The transcript is spliced from 3 exons. Lineage: Eukaryota; Metazoa; Arthropoda; Insecta; Lepidoptera; Cosmopterigidae.
GUAAAUUAUUCAUAUAAAUAAUUUCAAAUCAUUCAUUAUUGGUAUUCAACUUAAUUUGCAAUUAAUUAGUACAAAGUAAUAAAGUAACGUAAAAACAUAAUUCGCAUUGAUAGUUUCAUGUUUAGUUCCAGUGUCUUGUUCUUCGCGGCCCGGUAGCAAUGCAACGGUUGUUAACCGAGUUUUAUCUACUUACUCAUUCUUGAUUUUUUAAAUAUUUUCCGUUUAUGAUUUGAAAAUUUGUGAUUUAGUUUAUUUAUUAUUGACAACUUAUACAAGCUUGGGAUUUGUGUAUUUAUUAUUGUUUGGCUGUACAAAGCAAUCAAUUCAAUUUACAUAUUUACAAAUUUACAGCGAUAAUUUUAACACGAAUUUUAACCGACUUCAAAAAAAGAAGGAGGUUCUUUAUUUUCGAUUCAGUCAUUAUGUCAUCAGUGGAAAUAAAAUAUCUUGUUAAGAAACGCGGCGUAAUCAAGGACCGUUUAACGACAUUCGUCAAUUAUGUAGACAAAUUAGACUCGUUAACGUCAGUGCAAGCGACUGAGCUUCAAAUUCGCCUCAACAAAACUAUUACACUUUUAGCUCAAUUUGAUGAUAUUCAACCCAACAUUGAAUGUAGUAUAGUAGAUGAAAAAGACUUAGUCGUUCACUCAACUGAGCGAACCGAUUUCGAGUACUUGUAUUACGCGACUGUCGCGUCCGCACAAGAAAUAUUAAACGUAAAUAAACCUGCCAAUAAUUCAGAUAACGACUCAUGCAGUGGUUCGUACGUUUCAGGCGAGUAGCAUACACGAGGAAAGGCCAACCGCACGAGCACUACAGGCGUCAAGUUGCCCACCAUCCAAAUCCCUGAAUUCAGCGGUCUGUAUGAGAACUGGUUGGAGUUUCAUGACACUUUCAUUUCGUUAAUACAUAAAAACAGCUCUAUCUCGAAUGUACAGAAGUUUCAUUAUUAGAGGGCUUCCCUGGAAGGAGGCGCUGCUCAGGUGCGGACUAGACGGGGCCACUGACCACUGCUGAAUGUAAGGGACGCGGAUGACCUUUCACCGCUCUACCAGUGCCAAAACCAGAUGACAUCAAUCCGACUAGACUACAGAGAUGGGAUCGAGUGGAGAGACUUCGCCAGCGCUUCUGGAUAAGGUGGCAAAAGGAGUAUGUCUCAGAACUGCAGUAGAAAACAAAGUGGAGACAAUGUACGGGCUGCCUAGACAAAGUAACAAUGGUUAUCAUUAAAAAAGAUGCACUCCCUCCAGGAGCUGAGCAGAGUCGCAGACAUAUGUACUUACAAAGGCAAUAUCAGAAGAGCCUUUAACCGAAUCUGUGCUCUUCCUAUGUACAAUGAUCCUGUUGAAAGCCAGGACUUUCAACGCCGGGGGACAUGUCGAGAAUCAGCAUCAACGUCACCAGGCCACUGAAGGGUGAGACAUCGCCGCCGCGGGGAACGGGCGUCCAAUGAGCGCUCCACCACAGUUUUUAUUCAAAAUUAA